UUACCGACUCCACGGACUCAACCUCUCUUAACCUCCUAUGAAUCUUCGCGCUACCCUCCGGGUUGUCCACGCCCUCACGUUCGAAUCCACGAACGCCUUCACUUCGAAUCCACGAAGCUUCAAUCACGCCGAAUCCACGACGCCACUCGAAUCCACGAACCUACGAUCCGAAUCCACGAACCGCCGUCAAAUACGCCGAAUCCACAACGCUACCAUGAAGAAUAUCAUGAAUAUGGUGAUCCUUUGCUUUGGAGUAUCGUAGAAAACCAGGGAAUAGAACUCCAAGCGAAGCGGAGAUCAAAUCGACAUAUUAAUAUCAAAUUUCAAUAUCUCGAUUUAAUCUAAAAGAGGCUU
RNAcentral lists this long non-coding RNA (354 nucleotides) under Ananas comosus (pineapple). RNAcentral describes it as "long non-coding RNA (ACOM_LNC037987)". Lineage: Eukaryota; Viridiplantae; Streptophyta; Magnoliopsida; Poales; Bromeliaceae. The record is from RNAcentral.